Molecule: long non-coding RNA, 2174 nt
Organism: Parus major (Great Tit)
Lineage: Eukaryota; Metazoa; Chordata; Aves; Passeriformes; Paridae
Exons: 2
Source: RefSeq, a predicted model, not a curated record
GCUCUUCGCCCCCGGUGCUGGGCUCUGUGUCCCUGCGAGCCCCGCUGACUUGUGCUCUUCUAUCGCCCCGCCUCGCAGCGAAUAUCUGGUAAAUUUGUCCUCAGCUGAAGGAGAAGCCCAUCGGCUCCUGCCCGCAUGGAAGGAGUGCCGAGAGGACGAGCUGCAAUCCAGUGCCAGCUGAAACCCCCGUUCCCAUCUCGCACCUGACACCCCGCGGGGGCGGACCCCCACCGCGGCCCGACUGCCGGACCGCCCCCCAUGAAAACGCGGCUCCUGCCAAAAAUCACGUCUCCUGGGAGGGGUCGGAGGAUAUAUUUGCCGGAAGAUACUAGGAAUGAAGGAAAAACAGCUGGUAAAGAGGAGCUGGAAAGCUCUGUGUAUUUGUCUCCGAUUAGCAUGAACACCUCUCCCCACCCCCCUUUUAAUUUUAGAGGUUAAAACCAGAGUAUAUUUCCUCAGCAGGUACCUAAAGGAAAAACCUUGAUGUUUGCUCUGCCGGUUUGUUCUGUCGGCCCCUUUGCAUUUUGUGUAUUUAUUCCUCACAAGUAGCUAUUAUCGCUGUUAAUGAUUGUAGAAAUGUAAAAAAAUAUUUUUAAAAAUGUGAAUUCGUAGCCUGCUAGCAGAGAGCGCUCCUCACUCUCCUGGCAAUUAAAUUAAGGGUGUCGAUUUGGGUUAGGGAGCAUCCUUCAAUUUUAAGGGAAAAGUGCUUCAAGUCAAGAAUGCCUUUUCUGUUUUGUUGUCUGUUUGUUUGUUUUCUCUUUUUUUCGAAGGCUUUUCCUUUUUAGUAUUUAAGUCAUGCUGGAAGAACACAUUUCUCCUCCGUGCUCUUUUAGGCUAUCCCUCCCUUGAAAACUCCAGAUGGGAGGGAAACAGGCACACAUAAUUUGGAAGGUUUUGUUAUUUUUAAAAAAAGUUUGUCAUGCUGCAACCAUUAUUCCGAGGAUUCUGCGAGGUUUUCAUUUACCGGCUUUCAGGGCUCCUUUCUUCAUAUUGCAGCCGGCCCAACGCGAGACUCCAGAGAAAAAUAAUUUUAAAAAAGACCAAAAACAAGCAAAACCAAAAAGAAUAAAAAUAUAAAGCAACCUUCCUCCUUUCCUCCCCCUCACCCCAAAAAUAAGUUGCACCCCAAUCAGGCUUCUCUUGGGGAGUCAAAUUACCCCUCUUCCCAUUGGGACGCAUUCAUUUUUCGCAGUCAUUUUAUCUGCCGGAACUUUAGGACAAAGCUAUUUUCCAGAGGAAAUUUCCACUCCUGCUGCCGCCUCACACCAGAGGGCGCCAGGAGCCUUCCCAGGCUUUGCUGCCUCAAGAGCUGCUGGAAAUUAACUCUUUGGGUACUUUCCUUUAAUGUUUUCCUAACCUUUCCCUUUUAAAAUAUACAACUGGAUUCUGACUUUUUUUUUCCCCCUAUAAAAUGCGUAUUGCUUUGUUUUGGUUUGGGUUUGUAAGAUUUUUUUCCCUGUCCUUGUAGUACCUUUUCCUAGCUCUUCUAGGCCUUCACCCUCCUGCAGCGUUCCCCCAGGACUCUCAGAUGUACAACUUCACUCUGUCUCUGCUAGCUUGAUUUUAAUUAAGUCACUGGAUCACGUUUGCGUGACAUUACCGUGUUGUCCCUUAUAAACUUCUGGGAUGAAACUUGUCUUGGCUGUGUUUAAACUUAAAGAGUCACUUAGGGCACUUCAUGCAGAACACCAAAUCAUGGCACCAAAGGUGAAACAGGUUGGUGAGGCCCUGGCACAGGUUGCCCAAAGAAGCUGUGACUGCCUCAUCCCUGGAAGUGUUCACAGCCAGGAUUUGGAGCAACCUGGACUAGUAAAGAGUGUCCCAGCCCACAUAUGCACAGUAUAAGGUCUCCAACAGAGCUUAUCGUUCCAAAUAAACUACUAAAAUGGAAGAUAAACAGUAAGAAAGAGAAGAAUAAACUAAAUAUUAGUAUAUGUAAUUUCCAUGUUUCCUGUAGACUUUUGUCAAGAAGCUAGAUAUGAUUUUGCUAUUCACAUCUGAGGAUCAACAGAAAUGCAAAAUGCAUGAUCCAAAUAAUUAUUAAAAAAAUCUGAGCAUAAAGCAUAAAAAACGAACAAAGUAAAACAUUUUGAUUCUGGAGGCUGGUGGGAAAACUCAGUUGAAGAUAAAUGUUUGUCCUUGUGCUAUUUAAAUUAAAAUAUGGAUUUAAAAUA